Long non-coding RNA from Acinonyx jubatus (cheetah), 727 nucleotides. RefSeq lists it as uncharacterized. The transcript is spliced from 2 exons. The record is from RefSeq and is a predicted model, not a curated record. Lineage: Eukaryota; Metazoa; Chordata; Mammalia; Carnivora; Felidae.
AAUAUUUUAAAAUUUGCAAAAUAGGAAACAGGAAGAAAAUUUCUACUGAAGGUUUUUGCAAAUUAUAGAGGUUGUGGAGUGUGGAGAGUGCAGGUAUAGCAAACCUAUGGAGUAGCAGUUAGCAGGGUGUUUAAAUUUUGGGUUCAUGAUUUGCUUUUUAAGGUUGGCCAAUUUUUAAAAAAAGUUUUUUUAAAUGUUUAUUUUUGAGAGAGACACACACAUACACUGAGUGUGAGCGGGGGAGGGGCAGAGAGAGAGGGAGACACAGAUUCUGAAGCAGGCUCCAGGCUCUGAGCUGUCAGCAGGGCUCGGAACUCAUGAACUGUGAGGUCAUGACCUGAGCUGAAGUCCGAUACUUAACCAAAUGAGCCACCCAGGCGCCCCCAGUUUUUAACUCUCUGAUAAAUAAUGGUAGAAACUAAAGAACUUUUUUCUUUACAGAUUUUUAUGAUCUGUUUGUCAUUAUAUUUAUUUUAUUACUAUUAUUGUUAUUAUAUAUAUUUUUUUUUUAAUUUUUUUUUUUUCAACGUUUAUUUAUUUUUGGGACAGAGAGAGACAGAGCAUGAACGGGGGAGGGGCAGAGAGAGAGGGAGACACAGAAUCGGAAACAGGCUCCAGGCUCCGAGCCAUCAGCCCAGAGCCCGAUGCGGGGCUCGAACUCACGGACCGCGAGAUUGUGACCUGGCUGAAGUCGGACGCUUAACCGACUGCGCCACCCAGGCGCCCC